AGAAUGACCAGUGCAGUUGUCUGCACUCUGUCUAGCUUUUGAAGAGGGUGAGCAGUAAAUAUGCAUUUUUUUCAUGAUCCUAUCUCUUUAUUGCUCAUUUGUUUGUUUCUGUUGAACCAUGACAUUUAAAAGAAAUCACAGGAAUUUUGAAGGUCUGUUUAAUGCUGCUGCUUCUUGAAUAGCACUGCUUAGGAAUGCCAGGCCUAAUGAGUCUCAGGUUUUGUAAAGUAGCUGGCCAUCAUUUUCAUCUAUAGGAUACUGCAGUUUUUUUCCUGGAUUUCAGUAAAGUUCAGUUUCCACCAAGCAGGGUCUGCAUUGGAAGCUUGGAUGCAAGUUUAGAUAAAGCAAGACACCAUCCACCCACCUAUCUGUCCAUCCAUAAUGACAAAUCAUCAACAUUAACAUAGCUCUCUAGCAGAGAUUUACCACUGUUUAGCACAGAAUAACCAGUAUUUCUUAAUAGGUAUUGAACAGUUCCUAUUGAUUUCACAUGGAAUAGCAUUACUCAGUUGUGUCCUUACCUGAAGUAGACUGAUACUCUAUAGAACUGCUUAGAUUUCUACAUGGGCUCUCAUUCAGCCUUUUUAUUUUCUCUGAGUGAUUAACUGGUGGAACUGGCCUAAAUGAUAAUAGGCAAGCACAUGUAGUCAAGCACAAGUAAGUCUUUCACAAGGCUAGAAGCCAUUGCAAAGUUAUUUGUAGUGCAUGUAUGCAAAUCAACUUCAGUUUGAGAUAGUAUGGGAGAAGUUGGAGGGGGAUUUCCCUGCUUUAUGUAAUCUGUUGUUGCUCUUAGCUUCCUCUAUUCACAUGGCUCGGAGGCACAGGCAUGACACCACCGGUAAUUUCUCAAACUCAAUCUGAAAGCAAAGACAAUGUGCUCAGUGACCUUCAGCAGCCUUGCGGCUUUCAGUAAAUCCUCCAGCUCUGGCUCAGUGAUAUCCAGAAUAAAGGUGGCCUGGAGGAGAAGUUGGGGAAUGACUCCUCUGGUGGGGGCUUCACUCACUUACUGGCAUGUUUCAAAAGUGGGUGCCAGCCAGGAAGAUCUGUGUGCUAGCCACAGAUACGACUCUCUCUACUGCAUCUCUAACUACCAUUUCUCCAUCCAUACAAAGUGCUGCACUGGGCACAGGAUCCAUGCAUCCAGUUCAGUGUGGAAUCAGCAUGGCACAGUUCUGAAACCAGGUUGCCAGCCACACUGUCACAGCCAUCCCCAGGUGGGGGCUGGGAAAAGACAAGUCUCACGUGCUCAGGCACAUCUAGCAGAGACAUUCAUGGCAUGGACAGGCUGGGCAAGCAGAGACCCUAAAGCAUGUCCUCCUCAGGGAGGUGGAAUGCCACGGAUGCAAACAGCCCAUGGGGUGCUAUGCUGUUGAGGGCAGCCUGUGCUGAGGUGCAGGUGAGUGGCUCUGUGCCAGCCUGUGUAUCAGCCUCUACAUGGUAUUCUGUGCUGAACUGAUUGCGGUGUUGUUAUUCCAUGUGAGAAGAUUUACAAUCCAGAUUCUGAGAAAUGGGCUUACCAAAAACUGCUGCUAAGGGAAAUACAACAGGUGAAGUAAGCAUGGUGGCACUGAAGAGGAAGGAAAUCUCUCUGCAGCGCACUGAUAAGAGCAUGCUUGUUAUACACUGCGUUCAGUUUGGACAAUCCACAACCAGGAAAACAUAGGCUAGCUGAAGGAAACGCAGCUUGGAGGCCCUAGGGACCAAAUCAGUCUGUUAAAGUGCUUUGUUGGUUUUAUGUAUCAGUACUUAAUUAGGAUGCUUAACAAACACAUCAGAAAGAUAGUAACUGUUAAAUAUUCAGCAGGAUGACCUUUCAGUUACAACUCAGAAUGAAGUUCUCUUAAAGCUCGUUUUAGGCACUCCAACAAUGCCAGAGGAAUUGGACUGGACCGAAAUAAGCCCCCCCCCAAAAAAAAAGCAAAAAAAAAAGUAAAAAAAAAAAAGUAGUGUACUGUUGAUUGUAGAGACCUGGCUAAAAACCCAGGUCUUGCCACUGGCUCCCUGCAUGUUUCCUGCUCUGUGCUUCAGUCUUCCCAUCUAUAAAAAGAGUGUAGUCAUACUGGCAGUUCUGGUAAGCCUUUGAGAUGAGCGGAUAGAAAAGCCAUAAUAAGUUAUUUAUAACUUACUCUUAUUUCUGAGUAAGGAAGAGCAAAGACCAGAAGCCAUCAAGCUUUCAGGUUUUCUUGAUUAUCAUAAAACAGAAAAAAGCGCCAUGUAACAUGAAUUUCACACUGCAGAAAGGUUUAGCGAGUCACCCUUAAGGAGAAAGAGUGGGAGCACAACUAAAGAAAAUUACAAGCAGGCAGACAGUCAGGAAAACACUCCAGAUGGUGGAGUGAGUUAGGCAGCAGAGCUGGCUCCCACAGGAAGCGGUGAAACCCCCAUUGUUUGAGACAUUUGAAACGGAAUUCUUCAAAGUGCUGGUGUAUAUAAUACAAGGAACUGCUCUGCGCUGCUUCAAACAGGUAAUGACUCUGGGACAAUCCAUACAGAGCGACACACCAUUUGUGCAACCUUUAGGAGAAUUCUUGCUGCUGUGACUACGAGAAGCUGUAGGGUCUCUUUUUUAUCGGUAUAUUAUCUGAGGAACAACUACAGGGGUGCAACUACACAGUGGCUUUGCAGGAGAUGGACUCAGUAACCCUUAACAGAUCUUCCGCAUUCCCACUUUGAGAUCUGAAGUUUGUAUAUCCAAGAAGGGAAAAACUGACACCUAUUCUCUGUCUAAUGAUUAUGGUGUGCAUCCAAUUAUUUAGGACUAUUUAUUUCCUAUAUUAUAAUCUAAUGAGAAACUGGGUGGCUUGAUUUUUACAAGCGGUGGUUUGCAGAAGAAAGACUGUGAUUUUAAUAGGAACCAAAUGAGAGCUCAUUACGCAAACGGCAUUAUGAGAUGCAGAACUGAUGUUGCAAUGCUAAAUGCUCUAGGUCAAACUCACCAAAAUGGGAACUGGCAGCGGCUUGCUGGAAUGCUGGGGUUUCUCCACACUCAAAUACUACAGCAAACAUUUCCCACUACUGCUAAUGCUGGUUCAGCUCCUCUGGAGGUAGCUGUGGAGGGAGCCCGACUGCUUCUGUUGUUACUGGCACUUAAAAUCUCUAGACCUUCUCUGAAACACACAUUCAGAGCUUUGGGCCAGUUUUAUUGAUACAACUUGGUUUACUGGUUGGAGCAGGUAGAGGAAGGGAAAUUUUUAAAAGGAGCUUAGAAAUUGGAGUUUUAAUGCCUUCAUUUCCUCUUGGUCUCAUACCUGCUGGUAUAUGAAGAAAGAGGCAAAUUGAUUCAGAUGGCAGAAGUGCACCGGUGACCCAGCCUUAUUUUGUUCACUUUGGCUCUGUACAGACUUCUCUCAUGGGCUCCCUACCUUCAGUACUUACACCUUUGUGAUGACCCAAACAUGUCAGGUCUCGAGCCCUCCUUCCUGUGGUAUGGGAAGGGACAGGUAGCUGAGGGACCUGCCCAGGGGCAGGACAAGUGAGCUCCUGAUCCUUCCAAACACUGGGCUCUGCAAGGCCUCGAGCGCUGCAGCAUGCUGCACGUGAAGGCUGGCACCAUCUCCGUGCUGCUGCCGUCCCGGCCAAAAAUGUGGCAAUUUCCUUAGGAAUGAAUCACUAACAGAAAACAAACAAGAGCUAUUUGAGAAGUUUCUCCUUCCCUCUAAAUGUCCUGUCCGGUAUCAUAUUCCUGACAGUUUAUUCUACAAGAAUUUAGUCAUCUAAGGUUUCAGUGACUCAUCUGAUGAACCUUCUACCCAUUUCCUGGAAAGAGUCCUGUGCAGUCCCAGACUCAUUCUGCCUACAUUUUCAUAUAUUCCAACUUUCCACCAUUUUAGGGGUGGGGGAGAGGCAAAAAAAUAUUUUGAAUGCACUGAAUGUGCAAAGUAACUGGAAAACAGAGUGUCGAAAGAAACAUCUGGAAAACAAAGAUGGGCACUGAAUCACAGAAUCUCUUUUGGAAGUAGCUGCCCCUUGGACUGACAGCUGGAUAGAAGAAAAGGAGCUGCUGUGGUACAAUAUGGCCAUGAAUUUGCCAGGGCUGUGCCCUAUAAAAUGAAGAUGAAAACACAUCGUUGCAUGGGUGUGACUCAAUCUGGGCAAUUGCUACUGAUGACAAGUACUCUGCCACAAACUGUUGAAUGAAUUGGGCUGGAUGGGAACCAAAGCAGACAUUUAACAUAUUUGGACCAAUCUGAAAGAAACUUCUGUGCAGAAAACAACUGCUUCCUUUUCUGCUUUCCUGAUGUAGUGGAAAUGCUGGGUCAUGGCUUGAAACACUGAUUGAGCACCUGGUUGGAAAGCAGAGGCAACUCAGGGGAGCUCAGGUGCAUUGCAUGCACCUGAGUGAUUGGAACGGGUGGAGCCAGGACCUCAUUUAAGGGUUGGCAGUAGAGGCAAAGUAUCUUGCUGGAGCUCCGUUCUUUUUGGAGGCCUUUCACAGGUAACCAAAGGUGGGCCUGGACCUGGAUCUGUCCUGAAGUUGAUGGGAAAAGGAACUGUGCAUCCAAGCUUCACAGCAGGCUCUUCUCCUUACCAUGCAACAAAAAUCCUAGUCCCUUCUCGGUGUUUGGAAGAAGAGCAGAGAGAGUCUAGGACACAGUGAACUCCUAACAAAUGACCUGCCACCCCUAACAACUGUAGUAGCGAUCUUCCAGAGAUGCAGGCAAUGCCACCAGUUCCUCAAGGUUCAUCAAGCAGGAUUUACAUGUUGCUGAUUGUAAUUGUUUGCAGCCAUGUAUUAACACAUCUCUGAAUUUUGAUUUGGAAAACUCAGUGAUUGGAGGUCUUCUGGCACUAACAAACUACUGCCCUUUCUGGUUUGUGAAUCUGAAUCAGGUGCUGCAAAGCCCUCAUUUUAUUGCGAACAGCUGGAUGAAACCAAAUGCAUAACAAAGCAAAUCUUUCACAAGCAGCUUAAGCGCUGGAUACACAAUGAGGACAAUUGCAUUUCAGCCCAGAUGUAGUUGCACUUAAGCCACAGGGAAGCAAUUCAUUUAUAUGCAAACUUCCCAAGCACUUUGGGAUGAAAAUACUAUGCACAAUCAGUUUCAUACGCUCUACUUAUGUGACAAACUCCCAUUUUGUAUUAUUGUUUUCCUAGUUUUGCUGUGCCAAUCAUUCUGCAAUCCCUUGUCUUCAUUCUGAUCGUGGCAGAACAGCAGGCAGAUACUUUCAAAAGUAUGUGGUGCAUAAGCAUCUCUUUCAGGGUCCUUCUGCCUUCUGUUUCUACUGUGAUGCUCUCUGGCCUCAGCAGAAACAACAAACCUACACACCAGCAGCUGCAAAUUCUUCCUGAUUUGAGAAGUCUUCUGGAACAAUUUGGUAACUUGCUCCGUUCCUUUUUGUUGAACCUUGCAAAAAAUGUCUUUAGUGACUGUGUUAUCUAGUAGGUAAAUGAGGAGAUUAGAAGCCCUGGACCACCUUUGGUCUUGUACAGUACUGCUGAAAAUAGACAUCACAUGGUGUCUAAAUUAAGUAUGUGUUGACUCCCUAAGGCAGCUUCACUCCAAGUCAAAUGCCACCGUGUCAUGCAAUGGCUGCUCAGCCUCCUGUCUUUUGUUUCCUCAUCUAUAGCACUCAGCCAUCCGAAGAGUGUACUGAGAGUUCACUGGCAUUUCAGAAGACUUUUGAGAUUCUUGGACAAUCAAUCUCAUAUGAACAGAAAGCAGUUGGUAUUUCUUCCUUUUUUAGUGACGUCCCUCUGCUGAUGAUAUUAUGCUCUCGCAUUCCUGAGCCAAGCUUGUUUGAGGGACUUGAUUUUGGUGGAGCUUAAAAUCUGUUUUCUUCCUCAGAGAGGAUGCUGGUAUACACCUUUAAACAUAGCAAAUCUCAAAUGCAUGGAAGCCUUGCAUUCAAGGUCCCUGCAAACUGCCUUCAUUUGGCCUUCUUCAUCUUUCUUAAUAUACUCAAGCAAGGAAAGCUAGAACAGUUCAAUACAAGCAUGUUCUGCACACCAUGUAGCCUUGUACAAUUGGAACAAAUGAUUAAGUACUGAUUAGAAGGUUUAGUUUAUGGCCAGAAACCUGCAAUUAGAUACCCACAUGAUUCCAGUUUUUGUCAAAAGGUAUAGUCCCAAAUUUGAAUAUAGAUUCCCACUCCAGGACCAAAGUUUCCAUCCUCUGUUAAACAACUCUUCACUUACAGUCUUUAUGUUACUUAAUUAAAUUGUAGCAGGUUUUUUUUCACGACCUGACCUCUCUUAUGGCUUUCUGCUGUUACAGAGUGAUGGAAGAUGGGUGUUUAGAGAGCAAGUAACAGAGAAGGAAUUGUUCACAACAGGUUUCAGGCUGUGCUCUCUAAGCAGUUCUGUCUGCAGCUGAUCUUCUUUCAUGUUGUGUCUUUGACAAUUCCCAUUCAAAAAGCAUCAGCAAAUGCUAGAAGCACACCCACACUUUAGGUGCUCAGGCACAAUCCCUGUAGCUCUGGAAUAUCCCUCUCCUCUCUGUCAGGGAAGACUCAACUCAGUGAUGCCAUUGUGAAUGGAUGAGUGGGAGAAAGACAUUAUCAGUAACAGAGGGUAAUGCAAAUGACCAUUUGCAUUAAGAUUGUGUCAGGCUUGGUCCACGGCUUUCCAUGAAGAUAUUGGUGCCAAAGCAUCUCCAGGGCAGGGCAGAGACUUCAGGGCUGGAGAGCUGGAAUAAUCCUUGGGGGCCUAGGAUGAGGGCACCAGAAGGUGCAGGGCAGUGGAGGAGCCCUGCUGGCUGCAGCAAUGGAACUGGGGCCUAUGGAGGCCUCUACGCAGGAGAAAUCACACCUGUCCCUCCUGUGGUUUUGUGGAGCUCAGCUGGGGAAGUGGAUUCGUUAUGUUGGCUGUACUGUCAGCAGGUCCCUUUGGAAGUCAUGCCUGGGCUGCUCUGAGAGAUGGCUGUUCCCUUCAACACGCGCAGUCACACAUAGCUAAUGGAACCAGGAUUAUUGCAGUAAUUUAGGGAGGAAAAAAAGGAAAGUGUGUAUUGCCAGGUUGAAUAAAAUGUAAGGCUUGACAUGGGCAGAGCUCCUGCCAGUUGAAGUGUUUGCACCUGGUCUUACUGGAAAUUCGUGUGGCAGAAGAUUCUUGCUGAAGUAUUUGUGUUGCCAUCAGCAUGGCAGCGACUUGCCUGCACGUACUCAGACACCCAGGAGGCCAGGGCUCAGGGCUCUUCGAGGAGGUCAGUUUUUAUAUAGCAAAGCAAACAGUUUAGCUAAUCAAGGAUAUUUUUUCUUUUCUUUUCUGAGGCUCUUGGCAUCCAGCCCUGUUACUUGCAAUCUUUAAUUUGUACUGUGGCUUCCUUUUCCCCGCUGCCUUCUCACUCACUCCAAUUUUCCCACACACUUGUUUCCUAACUCUACCUCCUAUGGAGGUCGUCAUUUAUUUCAGACCCAAAUUUAUCUCAGUCCUACACAACACUGCUGUUACCUCAUCAUUUAUUCCUGUAAAAGACUAUCACUGGAUAUUCAUGAGAUUAACAAGUUUGUGAAAAAACAGUGGAGCCAUUUUUUGUAAGAUAGAAAACAGUUGACGGUUACAAAGGUAGAUGUAAAUUUAUUCAUACACACUUAUACAAAUUGAUUGUACACCAACCUGGACCUUCCUUUUGGUUAUACAGCUGUCUGAAGGGCGACACUGGGUUUUCAGUUUUGUUUUGUUUUAUUUUGUUUUUAAAGGAUUUUUGUGUGUGUCUGUGGUAGAGAUGGGAUGUAAGCUGUACACCUUACUCACAACAUGGCCAUGGAAAAGCCUGUUACCAUAAAGCUUCCACAAUAAGGGCGAAGAUAUUUGACGAAACAAAGUCAUGUUUUGGCAGGGCUUUCCUUCAGCUAAAAAAAUGCCUAAACAAACAUGGAAGAGAUAAAGGCUUUUUUUCUGGCUGCCACAGCUAUACAGCCACACAGUAUUUGCCCACAUCACUGAGCCUGGCUUGCUUGAGAGCUGACAAUGAGAUGCACAGGAACAUGGAUCAGAAAUGACCUGCUCUCAUCACCAGGUUCUUUCCCAGAAAAUCUCCUUUUAACAACCUUUUCUAAAAAGCCAUACAGAAUCCAAAGCAUUCCUUCUGUCUACAUACACCCCAAAAGCUGCAAAACACCACCAUCUUGUAACAAACGCACAGCCUGUGAGGCAGCUGUGGUUUCACCUGAUUUCACGUUGUUUAUGGCAAAUAGUUGUUCUUCUCCUUCCAAACUCUUCUGCCUCUGAAUGCAGCCCAGCUUGGCAUGGCAGCACUUAUCAAGCUGUGAAGCAAGGUGAGAACAGCUAAUGAAGCCUGACACACAUGCCACAUAUUUUCUCUCUAACUAUUCCUCAUAGCCACUUACAUGCAAGCACACAACAGUUUUAAUGAACUGAAGUGGGGGGCUAAAGACAUUGGGAGGCAGUGGGUAGCAUGCAGUGUCUGGCCUGUGUGCAGGCCUUCUGCAGGAUAUUCAGUCAUGGCUUGAGUCCCACAGGCAGUGUAUGAUGGCUGUUAUUGUUCUCUGGCGAAGAAGUCCCUCCGACUGAAAGCAGCCACACACUGGAAAGCUGAUCCUGCCAAGAUGCACACUGUAUUUGCUCUGUGAGGCAGUUGGGCCAGUACUUUUCAUUACUUUCAGAAUCCACCACUGACGAAAACGCAGCUCUUUAUAAGGUGGGACGUGUUUUAAAGGAAAAGUUGGGGCAGAUUCAACUGGUAUAAAGCUGCAUAGCUUUAUUAAAGACCGGGGGGUGUUGCUGAUUUAUACCAGCUGAGAAGUUGGCUAACGUUCUUUUGGAGCCAUCACCUCUCCCAUUUGCAAUUGCCAGCUGAAAAGCUGGGAAAUACAAGGAGAAAUGAAAAAUGGAGCACAUUUAUGUGAAAAGGCUUCUAUGCAAAACAAAUGUCUGCUCACUGCACAUAAGCUGAAAUAAUACAGCCGUUAUUGGAGCUGUGCUACAAUAAAAUAAGCUGGAUGAGUCAACCAGCAGUGCAUCUAAUCUCCACUGGCUGCCUUUCCGGUCCCCAAGCUCCCCAUCUAUUUUUAUCUCUUCUUCUUUUUUUUUUUUUUUUUUUUUUUUUUUUUUUUAAUAUACUUUUUGGUUUACAAGCAAUAAAUCUACAAAUUUUGGGUCCCCUGUGUGCACUCUUGCCAACAGGCCAUUCAGCAAUCAGGACAUUACCCAGACCACUACGGCUGUUAGGCCACAGAAGGGGGAUGCUAGGAAUCAGAUUCAAGAGACACCGUGUGCAGAGAGCAUGGCAGUGCUACUGAUAGUGUGGGGCAUGGCAGACCCUUCUGUGCUGAAGGUAACGCUCAGCAUGCAGAUCAGCAGGCUGUACACUUCAGGUGGCACAGCUGUGCCACUGCAGCUUGUGUGAGUAUGGCAAAACAUGCUCUACUGAUAGAUGUGCAGGGGUGUGAAUGCCUGAGUUGCUCUGGGAUGAGCUUGUUUCCAAACCUGCAGGAACACAGCUUGGUCCAGCGCUCUAGCCAAACCUCAUGACACGGUGUAGGGCAUGUCCAGACAGAAUAACACAACGUGCUCGACGGUCCUGCUGUGAACUGUAGAAGAGCUAACACUAAAAUGGCACGGGCAGUCAGAGCCUGCUUCUGUGACUGUACAAAAACAAUGUGUGAGCAGACACUUCCCACAGACAGCAUGCACAGCAAGAGCUCAAAAAACAUCAACUCUGCAGAAGAAAGUCGGAAAAAACCCACUGCUUUGGGCAUGGAAGACUGAACUGGACAAAACAGAAACAGCGUCUCCAGGCGCUGACUACAGCCUGUAGUUAGAGGAAAGUGGACAUAAACCAUUUCUGGCUCAAUUCAUCAAACUCCAUCAGGCUCUUUCUUAAAAGGUCAAUGCUAACAGGGAGCCAGCAAGAGUAGUCCUGGGACUCUGAUACACUGCCCAUGAAGCUCCAGCGUAUUAGCACUGACAUUUCUCUAGUCUUCCAAACUAGAAAUCUACCUUUGCAACUAGCACUCAUGACAGCGGUGAUGAAAUGUGAGGUGAUGAAAUGUGAGUAGCUUAGGAGUCAAGAGUUUUUACACAUUCUUAUUUUUAAAUCUUUUUUCUUUUUCCUUUCCUUUUCUUCCUAUCAAAGUCAACACACUAAUGCCUUCUGCAGGUGACUCUGACCCAUGUGGGAUGUUCUGUUUUCAUUCAAACUCCACAACUCCCCACUGUGGGGUCGUAUAUUUGGGGUUAGCCAAUGCACUUUUGCCUUUCAGAAAUGGAAUCAAAUACACAAGAUGGCAGAAGGUAGCAAGUCAGAUCUCUAUCUGUGCCCCUGUUUGAACUUCAGAUAUCCUCUGCCUCCACCAUCACGAGUUUACUUUUACAAUUAGUUUACUUUUAUUUAGCGUGCAAAACUGAGUGCACACACUUGGCUAUAUGCAAAUAAUCUGAGCAAACUAGAAUGUGGAAGAAAGGUGUCACCCUGAGUGCUAUAAAAGGAAUUUUUGGCACGUGAAUCCAUGCAGUGAUCUGAUUCUCUAAAACACAAUCCAUGCUAUGGCUCAAAUUCCCCCCCUGUGGAUUAUAUCAGUUAAAAAGCUGGUCCCGACACUUUUAUGAUAGCAUAACAUCAGUGUCUGGAUAUUGGUGGAACUGUCAUGAGUUCUGUGAUAAUGAUUCAAAUGUUUUUAAUAUUGUAAAAAUGGGCUUGUUUCUCCACUGUCUCUCUCACAGUGGCUUGGAAGAGAAGCUAGGGCACAGGCAGAGAAGAUAGAUGCAGAUAUUUGGUACUUGAUCAUAACAGAACUACCCCACACAAAGAGUUAAUUCAGCAGAAGAUAAAGGAUGUACAAAUUAGUUUCAAAUUAUUCUCUUAUAGACAUCUUAAUACAGGGGAAGGACGGGCAGCUGGCUGUUCUUAUCCCUAAGCAGGAGGAAUUAUCUACAGGGUAGUUGCCAGCUCUAAGGUCACUCUGUACUCUCACACAACUUAAUGAGACCUGAGAAAGAAACUUGCUGGGUUCUAUUCAGUUAACAAAUAUUAGAUGUUCUGCUUUCAUUAAUAGCAUCCUUUUGAAUCUGUGAAGGUUCAUUUAAUGAGCAAGACUUUAUUUAGGUACUCAUGUCCUUCCAAGGACCCAGCUGAAAUUAAAGGAUCACACUAGCCUUCAGCUGCUAUCAUAAAAUCAUUACAGAAUAUUGUAUAAUUACACCCUUCAUGCAGUUUCAUUUUAAAACACAUCCUGGCCUAGCCACUCUUGACUAAACUUGAAACGACUGGGCAGAGAUGUGUGGGAUGACACACUGAAAUUAGACAGAUGAGCACAGGUUAGGCUGGAGGUAGAGGCUGUGAGAUUCAGGACCAGAUGCUCAGGCAGGAGCUACAGCUUCAGUUUGAAACAGCGGGGACAGAGUUGCAAGGAGGAAAUUCACAGACUACCUGGGAGUGCUGUGGCUGCCCAGAGCCGGCACUCCCAGCCUUUCACUUUCCUGCCCACUAGACACGUCUAAAUAUAUUGAGAAUAAACAAGAAGGAAAACAAUUGCUGACUGUAGUCUGAAUAAUAAAAGCCUGGCUUUCCUCUUGGAACUGCACUGUUGCUCUUAAGCCACCCCAGCUGCCCUCUCAGGGUCCAGGAUGUCAGCACAGCUCCUCCAGUGGAUUAAUGCUUUGUGUCCACUCUGGAGCCAUCUACAACAGCCCUUUAAAUGCUGUAUUGUAAGUCUGGGGUGGAUUUCUUAGUCGGAAGAUCAGCAUUACCUCUCUACUCCAGAUAGCUGGUUUCUGUAUGAUAUAAUUCCAGCAAGAACAAAAAAACAGAGGUUGAAAAUAAAACUGUGCAUGGGAUGUACGGAGCUGCCAGCAGUACAGUCCUUUGUUCACAGCAGGAACAGGUAGAGCAUACAUUAUAAACACUGACAGACAGAUCCAAGAGAUCCUAAUGGUAGAACAAAAAAGUUUUCUUAACCUCUAAUAGAUAGUGUGACUGUAAGAGCCAACUCAAAGGCAAAGGCUGAAUUAGUUCUGGCUGAAACUCCAUGCAUUUCAGUUCCCUAUAAUGAAUUUGUCCCUGCAGAGCAGUGCAAUUAUUCUUUCAAUACCAGGAUCACCCACAUGUCCAGAGCAUUCCUACUUACUGUGUAUUUUGGUUAUUUAGCACUACUGAGAGAAGAUGAAAAAAGAUAGAAAAACUUUACCCAGUUCUUUUUUGUAACUGCAGUCAAUUCUUCAAAGGCUGGCAUGCUGUCCCUCUGCCAAGUACUACAGCACAGCCUUUACUUUCCCUCCUCUUUUUGCCACUGUCAGAAGGGCAGCUCAUAAACUAGCUUUGCUCCAGACUGUAUCUUACAGGGUACCCGCUAUGUGAAAAGACACGUCCUUCUCCCAAGCCAGUGCAGUUUGCAUUCUCAUGGUUUUUACUCAUUGUGGUUUUGGAAUACAAGAGUGAAAUCAGCAGGGCUGUCACUCCAGGGCAUUUCAUCAGGAUCAAAACUACGUAAAAAUAGGCACAAAGAGAAAAUAUAUACUCGUUGCUGAUUUAUCUAUUAAUGCUGGAGAGCAGUUGUAUCUCUGAUGUUUUGGAGAAGGAUCAGACACCUUCAUAGACAAACAGCACCAUCCAACAUAUGGCAGUAGAUGAAGGUUGCCUUUUGCUUCUCACAUUCACUCUGAAUCCUUCUAAAUCAUUCCUGCCAACACAAUAUGGUCCCUGAGGAUCAUUAACAUUCUUCAGAAGAGCAAAUCUCUCAGUUAUAUAAUAGGUUAGGUUGCACGGAAUAACAGGUAUGAAAAGCUCCCUCAGGGAAGACACCUGCAGAGACUCUUCCUUGACCUUCAUUCAGCUCUGCUGCACCUACAGAUGGCUGCUGUUUGACUCAGCACUGCAUGAGCAGUACAUACUCAGAAUACAUCCUAGGAACAAAACUGCCUUCCAAUUUUGUUUAAAGUGAAAACCAUUCCUUUUUAAAGUCAUUAACAACUGAAUACAUUCCUCCAUUCACUCACUUUGUUAAUAUGUGUAUCUCAAAGUACAAAAUUUCUAAACAGAGAUUGCUGGAGGAAGUGUAAUUUCAUAAGAGUCCCUCAAAACAUUACAAACGCAUUAAAAAUACCCUGUUAAUCAACUGAGGUCCAAGCAGCACAGCCUGUAGCACACUGUAGCUCACACGUUACCAGUACAAAUAAAACUAUUUCUUUUGACUGCAGUAGGCAACUUAAUUUGAUGUAUUUCAGCUAAAUGUAAAUGGAAUCAACAUAAAACUUCCACCAACACUCAUACAUCUAAAUUUCACUUGGAUUUCCUAAGCAAACAUACACAGUACUUUCCCAGACAACAUACAUAGGUAGACUUCCCAACAAGUAGUAAGCAUCCAGACACUGUGAGGUUUUCCACAGCUGCUCACCCUGAAACUCUGUCAUUGUUGAACUCAGUAGGUUUUCCUAAUGCUGCAAAGCUCACUCAGCUCCCUAUAAAUAUUAUUUCAGUGUAUGGAUAUGGGAUUCAGAUGUUCUUUAAGGACAAACAGAAAGGAAGAGGCAGAUCUAGCAUUUAUCAGGUCUAAUGUUUACAAACUGCAGAGGGAAAAAGUAUGCUAUUGAUCCCAAUAUAGUAGCUGUCCUCACAUCCUUCAAGGCGCAUCUGCUCAGUGUAUCAGGCACCCUUGUUAUCCUGGGAGACUCAGAGGCUGACUUGACAACAAAGUGGAGAAAGGCCACUUGAAAUCUUUUUCUUUCUUGGAGCUCUCAGAAAAAAAAAACAACAAAAACCCACGAAAUCUUCACAAUGUAUCUCCCUAGCACCAUCUACUUAAUAAUAAGCAUUUAUUUUAUACUGGAAAGAUAGAAGGGUAUUCUCACUUUGUUCAGUCCAGUAAGCUUUUCUUCAGUCAGUGGUUUUUCCUAUGCUGCUAUGAUUCAUUAGCUCUUCUUCCAAUUCAGAGUUCAACUUCCACCAGCUGAUAAAAGUUCUAUGCCCAACUGUGCUCAGAGAAAAGCAGAAAGCCUGGCAAUAGCAGAGACCUAUGCAAUGACCGACUUAUCUGGAACUCCUGGGACUGAAGGUUUGAGCCCAAACAUUUAGAAGCUCACAGGAAAGCCAAGUAAGUUUGGUGCAAGAAGGUUUGAAAGCUGAGAUGUAGUUAGAAGGGUGCCUGUCACUGUGGUAGGGAAAGUCAUGGAAACUGAAAGCAAAGUGGGAGGUUCUGCUUUGGUAUGAAGCAGAUGACAGUAGAUGAGUAUGGCAGCUGGACAGAUAACAGAUGUAUUUCAUCAAGAUUGCAUCUUCUUGUGAAUGGCAACAAGAAGUUGUUUUCAGACACAACCAAAUCAGAGAAAGAAAGUAAAACCACAUGACAUUCAGUCGGCCUGACAGAAAACAAGACCAGCACACUUGGUGUGAGACACAGGAGCACACGGUCCUCACUAGCAGUUAGAACUCCACUUCAAGUGGUCAUUCUUUGCUCAGUUUCAAUCACCUUGAAUCAGGAAUCCCAGCUGUUCUGGCUCUGCAUUCAUUCUUGAACUCCAUACUUUUGAGUUAAGGCCGACUAGUAUUUUGCGAGUGCAAAAAACUAAUUUCUCCCUGAAGUCCCAUCUGAAGCAAUGGCAUAAUACCUGGCUCAUACUUUCAGCUCCACCAAACGCUGACUGCCGGGAAAACAGCCUACUUCUGUCAUUACUGACAAAAAAUAGACACGUAGCCUUCUCUUUACUUUGUCUAACUACUCCUUUUUGGUGCAGAUCUUUGUAGUAUCUCUUGGUUUACACCAGCUACCGUCCUCCCCCUGAGAGCAGCUUGCUUUUAAAGGAGAAGCAUUUCACAAGUCCCUCCAGAUAUAACUUGAUCCUUUUUCCUGGCAACCUGUACCAAAGGACAAAGCACACACCUGCAAGGUAGGGUACCGGUUUUAGCCUUGUCUCUGAAAAACCUAACUUUUCUGUAAUUGCUGAGAGUCACCUAAGAUACCUUUAUAGAGUAAAUCAAUACUCUUCUGGUGAAUGAUAAACCUGGAAGAGAGAAAUACUAUCUCCCUGUGCUAAGAUGGUCACGACCACCCUGUAAAUAAGCUGAUCAUAGACCUAAAUAACAGCAACAUAACAGCAAAUGAGCUAGUUCUUACAUCCCUGACAGAAAUGCAUGUCCCUCUGCUGGAGUACCACUAUGCAAGCAGCUGGGUGGGCACUGGGAAUAUGCAAAGGCUUUGAAGUGGAAGGCUGAGCAGCCAGCGAUGGAUAAAGAUGAGCAAAGAGGGAAGAAACAUUCUAGAGAAUCCAGAAGAAUGAAUCUGGUACAAACAGUACAAGACUUCUCUAGUGACAGCCUGUUUUGGAGGUCUUGCUCAUUCAUCUGUGGAGAUCUGACUAAGACCAAUUUGGAUUGCCACUCUCUUCCAAAGGGGUACCUGUGUGGAGUGACAGUGAAGAGGCUGGGGCAAAGAGAGGAAGCAGGAACAUCUUAAAGUAUCACAAAAAAGCGAAUUGAUUCAUCUUUGGAAUGACAGUAAUCACUAAUCUGAUUUCCACCAAACUCUGGGGGAAAAUUAAAAAUAUGCCAUGGUAUUUUCUUCUUCAAGAAAAGGGACAGUACCAUGUUCAUAGUCCUUGCCACAGUAUUAAAAAGUGAGGCUCUCACUGUCUGAUUACUCUCUGCCUAACGGGACAGGAUCACAUUUGUGAACUUGCUUGUGAUUGCGUAUGUGAUGGGCGGUGCUACACAAAAAGAAAACCAAUGGUUAAAUGAAUAAAGCAUUGAUCAUGCAACACAUGGAAUCAAUUUCUGACUCUGGUACAGACUUCUAUAUACCACUAGGAGAGUUCUUUUGACUCUUGCUAUAUCACAUCUGAGUGAAAUGACAGUAACACCUCCUCAUCGUGUAUUAAUUCUUUACCAUGAAGGGAAAAUUCAUUUCUCUUUGUGAAGUACUCGGUCCUGAAUUACUGAAACAAACACAGCAAAGACAGGAGUGACAUGUCUUUUGUCUUGUCCAUUCUAUGAUUCUGUGAUGGCACUUGCAUAGCCCAGGCAGCUUUGGCAAGUCCCCUGUAGGAUUCUGAUACACAGUAAUGCUGAGUGUGAGCUGAAUGGGACUAUUUAGGCCAAGGAGCUCUAAUGGAGAAUAUGGCCUUGCACAGCUUCUACUGUGCUGUAAACCAUACUUUCAGUGAUUUUAGCUUUCAUGGAUUUCAAAUGAUUAAGCAAAAGCAUUACAGUGCACCUUCAAGUGGCCUUCAAUAAAUAGGUUUUACUUUAGAAAAAGGUUUCUUAGUGAGUCUACCAGGAAAUAUUUGCAUGUGAAAUGAAGACAUUUGAAUGAAAACAGGUUUGUUUAUUUUAGGAGGCACUGCAGCCACCCACUGCAGGGCAGGGUUUCCAGCACAUCAAAACUGGAUGCCAAGGAGCUUCAGGAAGGGAAACAAGAAACAGAACAGGAAAUCGAGCAGUUCAGCUUCUUUUCACAUUAAUGGCCAAAAGUGGGCAGUGCUACUAAAAUAAUAUUGUAUAAGAUCUUCUUUUAAGCAAGAAAGCUUACUGUUUAUUUCCUACCCCAGUGUCUAUGCACAGAAAUCCUGGAGCACUGGAGGAAAUAACAUUAACCCUGUAUUUAUCCAGAAAAAUAGAAGUACUCUUAGUGAACAGAGUUAGUAGGGUUAGGACCAAGAAGAUGUUAUAUUCCUAUUGUAGGUUUCCCUGUACAAAAGAAGCCUUUCUUUUUUUUCUUUUUUCCCCCCUGAAAUGAAAAAUACAUAUUUUGUGCAGAACCAGCAUUAAUGCAGUAAUUAAGGAAACACCAGAGUACUGCCUUGUACGAAAUGCUACAUCACCUUUCUAAAUAAAAUAUAGACAGAAGUCAUACAAAAAUGUCCAUUGUAUCUUUAAUGAGUACGAGUACUGGAUCCUUAACCUGGUUUAACAUCUCACCUAGCAGCGGAUAAGAUGUGCACUGCAGUGUUAAAAACCUUCCGGGAAAGUAGUUAGGUUCCAAAUCAAGAAGGAACAUCACCAUCUCCUGAGUCAUCAGCAUUACUUCCUGCCU
Coturnix japonica (Japanese quail) is the source of this 16923-nucleotide long non-coding RNA. RefSeq lists it as uncharacterized. The record is from RefSeq and is a predicted model, not a curated record. NCBI's taxonomy places the organism in Eukaryota, Metazoa, Chordata, Aves, Galliformes, Phasianidae.